Molecule: long non-coding RNA, 1150 nt
Filed under: Prunus persica (peach)
Lineage: Eukaryota; Viridiplantae; Streptophyta; Magnoliopsida; Rosales; Rosaceae
Description: long non-coding RNA (PPER_LNC008673)
Source: RNAcentral
GUUGGUGUAUUGUAUAGUUCUCGAGAUUGGAUUUCACUCAAAAGCCGCCAAAUAACUCCUCCCAGAAUAUUGUGAUGUUCGCCAAGUUUUGGACUCAAUCCGAUAUCGAUUGGUCCUUGAAAUCGGACAAUUCAGGUUCGUACGAAGUUCGUUCUGAAAUGGGGUGGUUAGUGUAUUGUAUAGUUCUAGAGAUUGGAUUUGACUCAAAACCCGCCAAAUAACUCCUCCCAGAAUAUGGUGAUGUUCCCCAAGUUUUGGACUCAAUCCGAUAUCGAUUGGUCCUUGAAAUCGGACAAUUCAGGUUUGUACGAAGUUCGUUCUGAAAUGGGGUGGUUAGUGUAUUGUAUAGUUCUAGAGAUUGGAUUUCACUCAAAACCCACCAAAUUACUCCUCCAACAAUAUUAUGUUGUUCCCCAAGUUUUGGACUCAAUCCGAUAUCGAUUGGUCUUUUAAAUCGAACAAUUCAGGUUCGUACGAAGUUCGUUCUGAAAUGGGGUGGUUGGUGUAUUCUAUAGUUCUAGAGAUUGGAUUUCACUCAAAACCCACCAAAUGACUCCUCCCACAAUAUUAUGAUGUUCCCCUAGUUUUGGACUCAAUUCGAUAUCGAUUGGUCCUUGAAAUCGGACAAUUCAGGUUCGUACGAAGUUCGUUCAUAAAUGGGGUGGUUGGUGUAUUGUAUAGUUCUACAGAUUGGAUUUGACUCAAAACCCACCAAAUGACUCCUCCCACAAUAUUACGAUGUUCCCCAAGUUUUGGACUCAAUCCGAUAUCGAGUGGCCCACGAAAUUUGACAAUUCAGGUUCGUACGAAGUUCGUUCUGAAAUGGGGUGUUUGGUGUAUUGUAUAGUUCAAGAGAUUGGAUUUCACUCAAAACCCACCAAAUGACUCGUCCCACAAUAUUAUGAUGUUCCCCAAGUUUUGGACGCAAUCCGAUAUCGAUUGGUCCUUGAAAUCGGACAAUACAGGUUCGUACGAAGUUCGUUCUUAAAUGGGGUGGUUGGUGUAUUGUAUAGUUCUAGGGAUUGUAUUUCACUCAAAACUUUCCAAAUGACUCCUCCCACAAUAUUAUGAUGUUUCCCAAGUUUUGGACUCAACGCGAUACCAAUUGGUCCUCGAAAUCGGACAAUUCAGGUUCGUAUGAAGUUCGUUC